RNAcentral lists this ribosomal RNA (386 nucleotides) under uncultured bacterium. RNAcentral describes it as "bacterial SSU rRNA". It matches the Rfam family "Bacterial small subunit ribosomal RNA", at positions 969 to 1353 of the family's 1533-position model. The record is from RNAcentral.
CCUUACCAAAUCUUGACAUCCUUUGACCGCUCUAGAGAUAGAGUUUUCCCCUUCGGGGGACAAAGUGACAGGUGGUGCAUGGUUGUCGUCAGCUCGUGUCGUGAGAUGUUGGGUUAAGUCCCGCAACGAGCGCAACCCUUAAGCUUAGUUGCCAUCAUUAAGUUGGGCACUCUAAGUUGACUGCCGGUGACAAACCGGAGGAAGGUGGGGAUGACGUCAAAUCAUCAUGCCCCUUAUGAUUUGGGCUACACACGUGCUACAAUGGACAAUACAAAGGGCAGCUAAACCGCGAGGUCAAGCAAAUCCCAUAAAGUUGUUCUCAGUUCGGAUUGUAGUCUGCAACUCGACUCACAUGAAGCUGGAAUCGCUAGUAAUCGUAGAUCAGC